AACGAACGCUGGCGGCAUGCCUAACACAUGCAAGUCGAACGAGACCUUCGGGUCUAGUGGCGCACGGGUGCGUAACGCGUGGGAACCUGCCCUUAGGCUCGGAAUAACCCCCCGAAAGGGGUGCUAAUACCGGAUAAUGUCCUCGGACCAAAGAUUUAUCGCCUUUGGAUGGGCCCGCGUUGGAUUAGCUAGUUGGUAGGGUAAAAGCCUACCAAGGCGUCGAUCCAUAGCUGGUCUGAGAGGAUGAUCAGCCACACUGGGACUGAGACACGGCCCAGACUCCUACGGGAGGGAGCAGUGGGGAAUAUUGGACGAUGGGCGAAAGCCUGAUCCAGCAAUGCCGGGUGAGUGAUGAAGGCGUUAGGGUUGUAAAGCUCUUUUACCCGGGAUGAUAAUGACAGUACCGGGAGAAUAAGCACCGGCUAACUACGUG
This 433-nucleotide ribosomal RNA is filed under the name uncultured bacterium. Its description in RNAcentral is "partial 16S ribosomal RNA". It matches the Rfam family "Bacterial small subunit ribosomal RNA", at positions 29 to 507 of the family's 1533-position model. The record is from RNAcentral.